Long non-coding RNA from Papaver somniferum (opium poppy), 2470 nucleotides. RefSeq lists it as uncharacterized. NCBI's taxonomy places the organism in Eukaryota, Viridiplantae, Streptophyta, Magnoliopsida, Ranunculales, Papaveraceae. The record is from RefSeq and is a predicted model, not a curated record. The transcript has 2 exons.
UGAAGAGAAGAAGUGAAUUUGAGAAGUAAGAGACGGUUGCUGCUGGUGGAAGAAUUCGAGGAAGAAGAAAGCGUUCAUUUGAAGCGAAAAGGAGCAAAGAAGCAGAAUAGGCAGUCAGUUUGCUGAGACUGACAAGCCAAUUAUCACUGUGUGGCCCUCAAUUUACAUUUCCUACGCAAGCCUAAAAGUUGGAGAAAAUCAUUUCUCUAAUCAUUAUUUGGUGUUUUUCUCAUCAUCUGUCUGUAUGAGUGGCGGCUCUGAGAUCUGAGAGAAAUUGGUGAAGAGAAUCAAGGGAGAAGAAAUCUGUUGCUGUGAAUUGAAGUGGAUUUUGUGAUGAGUUAGAUGAAGAAGAGACGGGUUUGUAGUGAUUUGUGUUGUUCCAGCCAGAGAAGAUAAGACAGGAAAUCGAGAAAUCGAGAAGAACCAGAAGAGAUUGAUGAAGAUUAAGGAGAUGGGUGUUUUGAGUCUGUUUCUGUUGUGAGUAUUAAGUUGUUGAAUUUGGGUCUUACCAGAAAUUUCAGAAGUUAGGGUGUGCUUCAUAUUCAAUUGAAUUACAGGGUUUGAACUGGGUUGAUUAGAAGACUCAGGUGAGAAUAAAUUGCAGAUUUAGAUGAAUGAUUAGGACAGGGGUUAUCUCAGAUUUGAACUCAAAUCGAAGUUAUGGUGCUGAGGCUUGAGAAAUUAAAGCCUGUAGGGGUUUGUGUGGAUGUUAGGGUUCUUAAAGGAAGAAGAGAUUAUGGGUGUUGCUGUUAAAUUCCUGAAUCUGAGUGUUAUUAUGGGUUGUUGAGCUGAUAUGAGUUACAGGGGGAAAAAUUGAGAUUGGGGUUCAUUGAAGCUGAUAAAAUGGGUGGAUCUGAAAUGGAAUUGCAGUUGCAGGUGGACUUAUUGGUGAUUCAGUUGGUGAUAACAUUAAGCUGGUGAAGAAUGGAUGAUCUUGAUGGUGUUUGGGUUGAUACAGAGAUGGAGCUGAGAUUGCUGCGACUAAAACUGGUGAUAUGCAUCUGUUCUGGUGGUUAUGAGACUCGCAUCUGCUGAGAGAAUGUACGAACUACAUGCAAUGGUCAUGUUGCAUAGUGGUUGAAAACUAGUGGCAUUUUGUUACAGUGAAGCCAAGAAAGAUUGCAAGGUUGAAAUUGGUUUGUUCUGGGAAUUAUAGGAAAUGUGCUAAGUUGUGUUGAUGCUGCUGCUGUGUACUGCAAUUGAAGAAUGAAGUGGUUACAAUGAAGAUGCUGCAGCAAAGAAGAAACCUAAUGCAUGGCUGAGAAGACGGUGGUGAUUUUGAGUAUAUAAACAACUGAUGGCUAGAACGGGACUGCAAGUAAAGCAGUGGUGACUGUAAUGAGGUUGAAGUAAAUGGGAGUAAAGGUGAGCUUACGAUGUUGUUUGAAUGAAUGAAAUGGAACUGCAGGUGAUGAUGCAAUGGUGGAGAUUGAUAUUCAGAUGAAACUGGUGUUGUGUACUGAUGGGUUUGAAUGGCUGGUACUGAGAUAAAGGGUAUAAGAUGGUGUUUGUGGGUCGGCUAUGCAAUUAUACUAGGCAGAAGUGGUUUAGUGUUGCUGCAGUCUGUAUUAGAGAUGCAGUGAAGAGAUGCAUUGAAGCUGAAAUUAGAUGGUUUCUGGUUGAAUGAUGCAGAAAUGGACCUGGUUGUGGAAGCUAGUAGUGUUGCAGAGAAGGCAUGGUGGUAUUGAGCUGCAACAGAUAGAAACAUCAGCUGGUAGUGUCGUGUGUUUGGCUCAGAAAUGGGUUGUGCAGUGAGCAAAUGCCGUGGCGAUGGUAUUACAUGCAACUGUAAUUGCAGGUUGUGAACUUGAGGCAGAUGGAGAACAAGAGAAUCUACAGUUGGGAGAGAUUGCACCAAAGAACCCAUCAUGGUUGGAGCUGAAGCAGCAAUGCAUCACUAUGGCGCGACAUUAGUUUGGCCUGUGCAAAUCAAAGCAACUCAGCUCAUGCAGGCUAGUAAGAAUCUGACUCGUUUCUGACUAGUGACAUCACUAAGUUGAGUUAGCGGACUCGGUAUGACUUUCCGAGUUGACUCGGUUGACUGAACUGUGACCGGUGACCGGGUGGACUUUGCCGGUCAUCUGAGCUGCUUUCUGGUGACUUUCUCGGCGACCUCUCCGGCCAACCUUUGGGACUUCAGCAACAUAUAUUUGGGUGUAUUUUCCACAUGGGUUUUUCUCACACAUGGGCUUGGUGGACUCUUAUUUAUUGGACUUUUGAAGACUUGACCUAAGAAGAGACAUAAAAUGGAGGAUUUUUACAACUUGAAACAUCACGUAUUCUACUUGGAGUACUGGAGGAGAGCCAGAUACUAGGGUUUGCUUAUUGUUUCAACUUCUUUAUCUCAAUAUUAUGAUGAUGAACUCCAAAAUUAUGAGUAGCUAAAACAAUCUUUGAUUAAAGGUAAGGGUGAUUUCAAAGCCCAAAAUAUGAACUCAUGAUUGAUAUGCAAUAUCUCGUUUUCUCGCAA